UUGACCUCGGAUCAGGUAGGGAUACCCGCUGAACUUAAGCAUAUCAAUAGGCGGAGGA
This 58-nucleotide ribosomal RNA is filed under the name Mycosphaerella sp. NW-AN001. RNAcentral's name for it is "partial large subunit ribosomal RNA". It matches the Rfam family "Eukaryotic large subunit ribosomal RNA", at positions 1 to 57 of the family's 3401-position model. Lineage: Eukaryota; Fungi; Ascomycota; Dothideomycetes; Mycosphaerellales; Mycosphaerellaceae. RNAcentral also lists the same sequence under 1 other name. The record is from RNAcentral.